CAAUAGCGUAUAUUUAAGUUGCUGCAGUUAAAAAGCUCGUAGUUGGAUUUCGGGUGGGAAUGGCCGGUCCACCGUUUCGGUGUGCACUUGCUACGCCCACCUUGCUGCCGGGGACGUGCUCUUGAGUUCACGCUCGGGACACGGAGUCGGCGAGGUUACUUUGAGUAAAUUAGAGUGUUCAAAGCAGGCCUACGCUCUGAAUACAUUAGCAUGGAAUAACACGAUAGGACUCUGGCCUAUCUUGUUGGUCUGUAGGACCGGAGUAAUGAUUAAGAGGGACAGUCGGGGGCAUUCGUAUUUCAUUGUCAAAGGUGAAAUUCUUGGAUUUAUGAAAGACGAACUACUGCGAAAGCAUUUGCCAAGGAUGUUUUCAUUAA
RNAcentral lists this ribosomal RNA (377 nucleotides) under uncultured eukaryote. RNAcentral describes it as "partial 18S ribosomal RNA". It matches the Rfam family "Eukaryotic small subunit ribosomal RNA", at positions 592 to 976 of the family's 1831-position model. The record is from RNAcentral.